This 72-nucleotide transfer RNA is filed under the name Candidatus Wildermuthbacteria bacterium. Its description in RNAcentral is "tRNA-Ala". It matches the Rfam family "tRNA". Rfam says of the family: Transfer RNA (tRNA) molecules are approximately 80 nucleotides in length. Their secondary structure includes four short double-helical elements and three loops (D, anti-codon, and T loops). Lineage: Bacteria; Candidatus Wildermuthiibacteriota. The record is from RNAcentral.
GGGCCUGUAGCUCAACGGCAGAGCACCUGGCUGGCAGUCAGGGGGUUGUGGGUUCAAAUCCCAUCGGGUCCA